Cavia porcellus (domestic guinea pig) is the source of this 950-nucleotide long non-coding RNA. RefSeq lists it as uncharacterized. The transcript is spliced from 3 exons. Lineage: Eukaryota; Metazoa; Chordata; Mammalia; Rodentia; Caviidae. The record is from RefSeq and is a predicted model, not a curated record.
GAGCCAGUUGGUAAAAGGUUUCAGCGUGUGUUUAUUGCUGCUUUGUUCUCCAACAUUUCUGGGGCCUCCUGGCAGCUCUUUGGUCUGCAGCAAGCGACACAGCCCUCAAGGACUACAAAGCCCAGACAAAUCCCAGGCUCUAACCAUUGCCUGGGGCUGAUGUAGAACAGCUGGAAGCCUCUCCACUGGACCUCAGACUGCUGCCCAGAACUCUGAGUGAACCCAGGGCAGGAGCCCUUCAUGCUCUUAGAGAGACCCUUACAAUUAUAGUCCUGGGAAAGAAAGCAGAGCGCUCAAGUGGAGAAGAGUUAUCCCAGGUGAAGGGCCCAAGCCGGCACCUUCCCGUUGCUGUCCUGCUGCUCUGCACGGUCUGCUUCAACCCAGGAGGCCAUGGGGAGCCCCUGGUCCCACCUUCCUGCUCCCUGAACCUCUGGACCCAAGCUGGCUUCCUUGGCUCCUACUGCAGAGAGCAAGGCCUGGAGAACAGCUUCCAAUGGAUUACAUGCAAGGGCCUUUUGAGGAGAACUAGGGUUCCCACUCCCAGUGGCUCUUACACCUUUCCUUCACUUUAGACUUUCAUCUGUUCACCAACCCCAUGUCUGGGGUGCUAGGCUUGCCCUAUAGGUCCUUCUUCCGAUGGGAUUGCUCUAAGACCCCAGGUGUUAUGACUUGUGUCUAGAUGUCCCCCCAAAGCCUCAUGUAGUAUCAGUGGAGUUUUGUUAGAGUGGCUGGAUCUAGAGUGUGUGAUGCUGGGACUGAUUCAUGGUGCAAUGUUAAGAUCAAGAGCACUAGGAUUAAGGUAUGAGUGCUACCUGCCCUAAGUAGCCUGGAUGAAAUACAAGGGAUAGAAAGAAAUAUGGUUGUCCCAAAAACUGUUUCUUGUCUGCAAUGUCACCCUGCUAUGGCGCCAGUCAACUAUGAACUGAAACCUCUAUAAACUGUGAGCUAAA